Saccostrea echinata is the source of this 1872-nucleotide long non-coding RNA. RefSeq lists it as uncharacterized. NCBI's taxonomy places the organism in Eukaryota, Metazoa, Mollusca, Bivalvia, Ostreida, Ostreidae. The record is from RefSeq and is a predicted model, not a curated record. The transcript has 10 exons.
GUGUACUUAAACUAAACUUAUGAUCUGGUAUUUUCAAUAAGAUUUUUUUUUAAAUUGAAUGAGGAAGUUAUUGAUAUUUUGAAGUUAUUUUGAGCAGCAUAUUUCAAUCCAUUUAUUGUGAAUAAAAAAGAUUUCUUUUAGUUGGAAAUGAUGUAGUUUACUCAAUGGUGUGUAGACUGUCAACAUGUGAAACCUACAUAGUCUCCUCUGUUAAAGAUCACUAAUGGUGGAUAAACAAUGAGUGAUGCAGACUGUUCACCAAAAGGGAGUUUUGACACCUGUAUGCCUAUAUUUCUACCAAUCACCCUGUUAUCUUUUUUGUCAUGUUCUUUGGACAGGUAAAAUAACAAGGUAAAACAAGUAGAAAGAAAAGGCUGGAGCAAAGAUGAGAAAAGCACCAUAUGCCAAGGGUUUGUAAGGAGAGUAGCAGAUCAGAAACCUUUGACUAGAGAAGAUGUGAAUGGAGACAGAUUCUGAUGAUGCCAUCAUUGGGAGACAGGAUGACUAUAAGACACUAAUUCCUCAUCCAUAAAGAUUUCUACAAGUGGUUCAUUUGGAUGAUUAUUUUGGACAUUCCCAAGAAACUAUAAUUCCUAACUAGACCAAACUUGUAUGGUAAGGCAUGUAGAUGUGCACACUACUAGAACAUUCAAUUUAUGAUAGACAUUGCCUUCACUCAUAGAUAAUAUUCUUCUGAGGAGAACUUUAAGAAAAGUGAUUUUGAUGUUAUGCACUUAUAUUUUCAGAAAUGAAUACAGAUUUCAUUACAAGACGUGUGCAUGGUGCAACAUCCUGGAUGGUGUGUAGUAUGUUUGUUAACAUGUGAAGCCUACGUGUAUUUCAGGGAGUUGUCUCCCAUGUUUAAGAUCAGUAAUGGCGGAUAUACAAUGCAGUAUGCUGUCUGGUCAUCAACAGAGAGUUUUGACACCCGUAUUUCUACCAAUCACCUCUGUAACCUUUGUUGUAUUCAUCAGAUAGAUUCACCAGAUGCAGCUGCUCCAUCUCCAUCACUGGUGAAAUGGGAAAUGACUAGUGGACGGUCAUCACUUUGUAACUCACCAUUUUGCAGCCCAUCUCUUCUCAUCUUCAGUGGUGGCCUCUGGAGGAAUGGUUGCAGUGCAGUCUUCGUGUCUUAGGCAGAUAACUUCCUUUCCUUUGCUUCUCAGUUUUUAGCUCAACUCAACGAAAUUGGGGAACCUUAUGUGAUACCCUCAGCAUUGGUGUUGGUGUCCCAGGUUAAGUUUUUGGAGCAGAGUUCUUUUUAACUAUGAAAAUGAAGAACUGGAAAGGAUCUUGAUUGAUUUUUCUUGAAUGAGACACAAGUGCCUUCCAUUUGUGAUACUAAAGGAAGCUGUUACAAAUUUAGUUUGCCACAGUACUGGCCUGACAUAUGAGGACAGGAAUAAAAGAUGUUUUAAAAUAGAAAUGUCUAUAAUUUAACUUAUAAGUAUGAUUAACUAAGAUCACAAACAACAAAUCAGUUGCAUUGCAAAUGUACAUAUAGCAUGUUUGCACUUACGAGGGAAUAUUCACUCCCUUUCAGUGAAAGUGUUGGCAUGCAGGUCAAUUAUUGUCACCAAAUCAUCUGUCAUAUUCUCUGCAUGCAGCUGUAGAAUUUGAUCAGAAAGAUUAGCUACACUAUUCUAUGUAUAAGUCUUAUGUAUAAAUCUAAGACAUUUUGGUUUCUAGUCACCAGUCUAUAUUUAUAAUCAUUGUAGUGUAAAAAAAUUCAGGUCCAUAAGUCGAUUGAGACUUUAUGUUUUAGUGAAAUGUUUUGUUUAUUUAUUGCCAACUCGCUGUAAAUCAAAUGUAGUUAAAAAUUUCAGCACUUUCAUUGUGUUUAUGCAAUUUAUUGUUCUUCAAUGUCAGUGA